ACUCCUACGGGAGGCAGCAGUGGGGAAUUUUGGACAAUGGGCGCAAGCCUGAUCCAGCAAUGCCGCGUGUGUGAAGAAGGCCUUCGGGUUGUAAACUGCUUUUGUCAGGGAAGAAAUCCUGUGGGUUAAUACCUCGUGGGGAUGACGGUACCUGAAGAAUAAGCACCGGCUAACUACGUGCCAGCAGCCGCGGUAAUACGUAGGGUGCGAGCGUUAAUCGGAAUUACUGGGCGUAAAGCGUGCGCAGGCGGUUUUGUAAGACAGAGGUGAAAUCCCCGGGCUCAACCUGGGAACUGCCUUUGUGACUGCAAGGCUGGAGUACGGCAGAGGGGGAUGGAAUUCCGCGUGUAGCAGUGAAAUGCGUAGAUAUGCGGAGGAACACCGAUGGCGAAGGCAAUCCCCUGGGCCUGUACUGACGCUCAUGCACGAAAGCGUGGGGAGCAAACAGGAUUAGAUACCCUGGUAGUCCACGCCCUAAACGAUGUCAACUGGUUGUUGGACGGCUUGCUGUUCAGUAACGAAGCUAACGCGUGAAGUUGACCGCCUGGGGAGUACGGCCGCAAGGUUGAAACUCAAAUGAAUUGACGG
Molecule: ribosomal RNA, 588 nt
Filed under: uncultured Aquabacterium sp.
Lineage: Bacteria; Pseudomonadati; Pseudomonadota; Betaproteobacteria; Burkholderiales; Sphaerotilaceae
Description: bacterial SSU rRNA
Rfam family: Bacterial small subunit ribosomal RNA
Source: RNAcentral